RNAcentral lists this ribosomal RNA (1670 nucleotides) under uncultured eukaryote. RNAcentral's name for it is "partial Bacterial large subunit ribosomal RNA". It matches the Rfam family "Bacterial large subunit ribosomal RNA", at positions 241 to 1961 of the family's 2925-position model. The record is from RNAcentral.
AAGUAGCGGCGAGCGAACGCGGAUUAGCCCAAACCAAUGUUGUUACGGCAAUAUUGGGGUUGUAGGACCACGACAUUUGAUGCAUGAUGAACUAGAACAAGUUGGAAAGCUUGGCCAUAGACGGUGAUAGCCCGGUAUAAGUAAAGCGUGCGUAGAUAGUGGUAUCCUGAGUAGUGCGGGGCACGUGAAACCCUGUAUGAAUCAGUCGGGACCAUCCGAUAAGGCUAAAUACUCCUGAGAGACCGAUAGUGAACUAGUACCGUGAGGGAAAGGUGAAAAGAACCCUGAAUAAGGGAGUGAAAUAGAUCCUGAAACCAUACGCUUACAAGCGGUCGGAGCUGACUUGAUCAGUGACGGCGUGCCUUUUGCAUAAUGAGCCUACGAGUUACUUUAACUAGCAAGGUUAAGCACUUCAGGUGCGGAUCCGUAGCGAAAGCGAGUCUGAAUAGGGCGCUAUAGUUAGUUUGAGUAGACGCGAAACCGUGUGAUCUACCCUUGGGCAGGUUGAAGCUGUGGUAACACAUAGUGGAGGACCGAACCCGUUGACGUUGAAAAGUCUUGGGAUGACCUGAGGGUAGGGGUGAAAGGCCAAUCAAACUCGGAAAUAGCUCGUACUCCCCGAAAUGCAUUUAGGUGCAGCGUUGAUUUAUAGUUUUAUAGAGGUAGAGCUACUGAUUGGAUGCGGGGGCUUCACCGCCUACCAAUUCCUGACAAACUCCGAAUGCUAUAAAAUGUUAAUCAGCAGUGAGGGCAUGGGUGCUAAGGUCCAUGUCCGAGAGGGAAAGAACCCAGACCAUCAGCUAAGGUCCCCAAAUGUAUGUUAAGUUGAAAAAACGCGGUUGAACUGCUUAGACAGCUAGGAUGUUGGCUUGGAAGCAGCCAUUCAUUUAAAGAGUGCGUAACAGCUCACUAGUCGAGCGGUUCGGCAUGGAUAAUAAUCGGGCAUAAACAUACUACCGAAGCUAUGGGAUCCUGCAAGAGCAGUGAUCGGUAGGGGAGCAUUCUAAUUGUGUUGAAGGUGUGCUGUGAGGCAUGCUGGAACGGUUAGAAAAGAAAAUGUAGGCAUAAGUAACGAUAAUGCGGGCGAGAAACCCGCACACCGAAAGACCAAGGUUUCCUCAGCUAUGCUAAUCAGCUGAGGGUUAGUCGGGACCUAACGCGAACCCGAAAGGGGUAGUGGAUGGACAACAGGUUAAUAUUCCUGUACCUGCUCACGCUAAAAGUGACGGAGGCGAGAAGUUGGUGCGUACAGACGGAAUUGUACGUUGAAGGGAGUGGUAACACCCCGAUAGUACACCGAGACCACGGUCAAGGUGAUAAUCCAGCAUAUCGACUUCCAAGAAAAGCGAGUGAAGCAGCCCGUACCGUAAACCGACACAGGUGGUUGGGAUGAGAAUUCUAAGGUGCUCGAGAGAUUCAUGGCUAAGGAACUAGGCAAAAUCGACCCGUAACUUCGGGAGAAGGGUCGCCCAUCUUUUAGAUGGGCCGCAGUGAAGAGGUCCAGGCGACUGUUUAUCAAAAACACAGGGCUCUGCUAAAUGGAAACAUGAAGUAUAGGGCCUGACACCUGCCCGGUGCCGGAAGGUUAAGAGGAGGGUUUAGCUUCGGCGAAGAUCUGAAUUGAAGCCCCGGUAAACGGCGGCCGUAACAAUAACGGUCCUAAGGUAGCG